RNAcentral lists this ribosomal RNA (464 nucleotides) under uncultured bacterium. RNAcentral's name for it is "partial 16S ribosomal RNA". It matches the Rfam family "Bacterial small subunit ribosomal RNA", at positions 339 to 795 of the family's 1533-position model. The record is from RNAcentral.
CUACGGGCGGCUGCAGUGGGGAAUAUUGGACAAUGGGCGCAAGCCUGAUGCAGCCAUGCCGCGUGUAUGAAGAAGGCCUUCGGGUUGUAAAGUACUUUCAGCGGGGAGGAAGGGAGUAAAGUUAAUACCUUUGCUCAUUGACGUUACCCGCAGAAGAAGCACCGGAUAACUCCGUGCCAGCAGCCGCGGUAAUACGGAGGGUGCAAGCGUUAAUCGGAAUUACUGGGCGUAAAGCGCACGCAGGCGGUUUGUUAAGUCAGAUGUGAAAUCCCCGGGCUCAACCUGGGAACUGCAUCUGAUACUGGCAAGCUUGAGUCUCGUAGAGGGGGGUAGAAUUCCAGGUGUAGCGGUGAAAUGCGUAGAGAUCUGGAGGGAUACCGGUGGCGAAGGCGGCCCCCUGGACGAAGACUGACGCUCAGGUGCGAAAGCGUGGGGAGCAAACAGGAUUAGAUACCCGCGUAGUC